CACGGGGUUGCGAGCGUUGUCCGGAAUUACUAGGCGUAAAGGGCAGGCAGGCGGAUCCAUAAGUUUAUCGUUUAAGGCGUCGGCUUAACCGGCGUAGGGCGGUAGAUACUGUGGAUCUGGAAUGCGGUUGGGGAAGACAGAAUUCCUGGUGUAGCGGUGGAAUGCGCAGAGAUCAGGAGGAAUACCGAAGGCGAAGGCAGUCUUCCAAGCCGUUAUUGACGCUCAACUGCGAAGGUGUGGGUAUCAAACAGGAUUAGAUACCCUGGUAGUCCAU
Molecule: ribosomal RNA, 274 nt
Filed under: uncultured prokaryote
Description: partial 16S ribosomal RNA
Rfam family: Bacterial small subunit ribosomal RNA
Source: RNAcentral